ACACAUGCAAGUGGUGCGACGAACCAGGGCUUGCCCUGGGGCAAAGCCGCGAACGGGUGAGUAACACGUGGGUAAUCUGCCCCGAUGACCGGGACAACCCGAGGAAACUCGGGCUAAUACCGGAUGAUGAGCCAAGGCUCAAGCCUUGUCUCUAAAGGAAGCUUCGGCCUCCGCAUUGGGAGGAGCCCGCGGCGCAUUAGCUUGUUGGUGGGGUAACGGCCUACCAAGGCGACGAUGCGUAGCUGGUCUGAGAGGACGAUCAGCCACACUGGGACUGAGACACGGCCCAGACUCCUACGGGAGGCAGCAGUGGGGAAUCUUGCGCAAUGCGCGAAAGCGUGACGCAGCAACGCCGCGUGGGGGAAGACGGCCUUCGGGUUGUAAACCCCUUUCAGGAGGGACGAAGGUUCACCGGUGAAUAGCCGUGUGGAUUGACGGUACCUCCACAAGAAGCACCGGCUAACUACGUGCCAGCAGCCGCGGUAAUACGUAGGGUGCAAGCGUUGUCCGGAAUCAUUGGGCGUAAAGCGCGCGUAGGUGGCCAUUUAAGUCCGCUGUGAAAGUCAAAGGCUCAACCUUUGAAAGCCGGUGGAUACUGGAUGGCUAGAGUACGGAAGAGGCGAGUGGAAUUCCUGGUGUAGCGGUGGAAUGCGCAGAUAUCAGGAGGAACACCAAUAGCGAAGGCAGCUCGCUGGGACGUUACUGACACUAAGGCGCGAAAGCGUGGGGAGCGAACAGGAUUAGAUACCCUGGUAGUCCACGCCGUAAACGAUGGAUACUAGUGUGGGAGGUGUCGACUCC
RNAcentral lists this ribosomal RNA (801 nucleotides) under Solirubrobacterales bacterium. RNAcentral describes it as "bacterial SSU rRNA". It matches the Rfam family "Bacterial small subunit ribosomal RNA", at positions 51 to 839 of the family's 1533-position model. Lineage: Bacteria; Bacillati; Actinomycetota; Thermoleophilia; Solirubrobacterales. The record is from RNAcentral.